GGACUUGGAGUCCCCGCCACUCAGAGACCGCGCCUGCCGGGGUCGCCAGACUCGGGCUCCCGCCCACGUGGCGCGCGGGAUUCAACGCGCGACGCCGCCUCCGCCCCGCCCGCCCCCUCCUCGGCCCAACUCGGACGCAGUUGGGGUCCUGAGUGCCCGCCCCCCACGGCCGGCCGGCGGAGGGCCCCGCGCCGCUGCCUCCGCUCCGGCCCGCUCUCCGCUGCUCUCAGCUCCCGCGACGGGAAAAGUGGGCGCCGGCGGCGGCUCCCCCGCCCGGGUAGCGCGCUCCUCACCGGCGCGGGGCUGUGGGUCCUCGGCGCCCAGGGCUCCUGCGGCGGCGGCGCCGGAGGUGUCCCGCGGUCCCAGGGCCCCGCCCGGGAGACGCCCUCGCCCGAAGCCGCGAGGCCGGGCUGCGGCCACUCCCUCCCCUCCCGGAGAGUGGCGGGCUUUGCGCGGGGAGCCGGAGUCGAGCUGCCGAGAAAGCCCCGGGGGACUUUGCUCAGCGGGACCCUGGAACUCUUCUGCUAGAGUAACCGAGAGCUACGGGCUGCUGCGGGGCUGGAGGAGCUGAGCUGACGAUCCGCACGUUGGCGGUGACCGGGUCUCCGCACACAAAGGCCACUCCACCUGGGUGACCACCACCGCGUCUUGAGUCCCGAAGUGGCGGCGAGGCGGUCGGAGAGGUAUUUGCUGAGCACCUGGUAUGUUCAGGAUACUGAUAAAGAAGUGUGUGCGAGAUGGUGUAGAAAGUCAUGAGCCUUUAUACGAGACUGUAGAAGAAGCAGGUCAUCUGAUGGCAGGACUGCUAGGGAAGUAAAGUAUGAAGAAUGCACGUGUGUCUCCAAAGGCAAACUGGCCACAUGUCAUCCCUACGAUGGCCAGAGGUGAUGGCCUGGAAGAGCUGUGGCCAGUGAGGAGGGACCAGAUUCCUUGGAAGAUGAUGGCCACUGCAGAGUGCACACUCCACUCAGAUCAGGUUGUUGACCUCUUUUUCUUCUUUUCAUGAUGUCCACCCAUUCCUAUGCAUGCCACAUGUAGCGUCACCAACAUACCAUCUCCAGGUUGCUCUCCAGGAAGAAUGAAUACGUGGAAGAUGACGUUUGAUUCUUCCUGCUGGCUGCUGACCCUAGAGAGACAUCAUGGACAACAUGGACACUCACUUCAACAUGAGGCUACUGAGACGUGUUAUCAGGUACAUAAAGCUGAAUUGAGAAGAGGGCAUACACAUGAAAAUGACUUAGGGACACAAACAGGUGCAGAUUAAUGAAGUACCCCAGGAAUUGAUGUCUGUGAUGGGCUGCCGAUGAGGACCUGAGGUCCUUAGUCGAACAGCCUGUGAGGAACUCAAUCCUGACAACAACCAUGUGAUGAGCUUGGAAGGGGCCCUUCUCCAGGUGAGACAACAUGGACUUAGAGACAUAUGUGAGCCUUGUGUUAGCCACCCGGAAGGACCAGCAAGGGGCAUUGUGGAGAUGAGAACUGAGAUUUGCUCUAUGGAAAUCGCAAAAUUAAGAGAAACAGAUGUGACUCCAAGGCCAAGGGUCCUACAAUUGGAAAGAACACCAAUACCACACUAUGAAAUCAGGCUUUGAGGCCCACAGAAGGCUCAGCCAUUGUGCUGCCAUGCUGACCCUCCCUUCUGAAGGUGAAGAUCUGAUUGUAUUCUACUGCUUACAUAAACUGCCUCUCUAAGGGAUUGUCACUGUCAGUACACGCUGUGAUACCUUGUGAAGAUGAGAUUUGAUUUCUUCUCAACAAAUAGUCUUUCUUCCUCUCUUCACUGACAGAUAUGCUGAGAAUUACACUGCUUAGACUUUCUUCCCUUAGACCAGGAUUUCUCAGCCUCAUCAACUUUAUCACCGUUAACAUGUGCACUCAAAUAAUUCUUCUUUUUAUUUGUGGAGGGGGUCUGCCUUGUGAAUUGUAGGAUAUUUAACAGGCUCCCUGGACUCUACUCAGUAGUCCCCAAAAUUCCCGUGCAUCACCCCCCAUUUAUGGAUUGUGAAAGUCAAAACUGUCUAGCUUAGUUCAAUUAAGAAUUCCUGUUAAGAUUCUAGGAUGCCCAUUAAGCUGGCUCAUCAGCCAAUUACCCCUUUUUGUGCGUGAGUUUCAGAUUCCUUCUUGAGAAUAUGUAUUAAUGGAAUGGUGAUUGGAGGGAAAGAAAUGAGGAAAAACUCAUGAAUGUGAAGAUGAGGUUUCAGGCAUGAAGACAUUGACUGCUAAGACUUGGAGUGACAAACACUAAUUUCCUCUUUCUUACAUUUUGCCUCUCUUCUUUACAUUCUAACAUUUCCUGUUGAUUCACAUAUAUGUGUCUGUUACCAAAUUAGCAAAAAUAAUACAUUUUUAAAAUGUU
Long non-coding RNA from Herpailurus yagouaroundi (jaguarundi), 2356 nucleotides. RefSeq lists it as uncharacterized. The transcript has 7 exons. NCBI's taxonomy places the organism in Eukaryota, Metazoa, Chordata, Mammalia, Carnivora, Felidae. The record is from RefSeq and is a predicted model, not a curated record.